GUGAUAUUGUGCUCCUGGAAAUAAUGGUGUAGUUUUCGGGAGGUGAGUAGAAUUGCGUAUAAGAGCUUUUGUAUCGGUGAAUACCGAGUUUUGGAGUCCGAGAGUACUUCGCUGACGAAGUAGACAUGUCGUUGGACCUUGUAAGCGUGGCCCGGUUCAGACCGUUCGACUACUAUUGUCGUGCUGACGACAUGAGUAGUAGCUGAUAUGUAUAGGAGCAAGCCUUCGUUCGGAGAAGGAGUGGUGAGUAUAGGAGGCUUUGACAGAAAGUCUUUAAGUUGUGUUAGUGCCUUGUCUGCCUCGUCCGUCCAUUUCAACUUGUCCUGGCGUUUGAGAAGCUUAAAG
Molecule: long non-coding RNA, 345 nt
Filed under: Setaria viridis
Lineage: Eukaryota; Viridiplantae; Streptophyta; Magnoliopsida; Poales; Poaceae
Description: long non-coding RNA (SVIR_LNC004638)
Source: RNAcentral